UCGCGGCGACGUGGGCGGUUCGCUGCCCGCGACGUUGUGAGAAGUCCACUGAACCUUAUCAUUUAGAGGAAGGAGAAGUCGUAACAAGGUUUCCGUAGGUGAACCUGCGGAAGGAUCAUUG
Molecule: ribosomal RNA, 121 nt
Filed under: Lonchocarpus punctatus
Lineage: Eukaryota; Viridiplantae; Streptophyta; Magnoliopsida; Fabales; Fabaceae
Description: partial 18S ribosomal RNA
Rfam family: Eukaryotic small subunit ribosomal RNA
Source: RNAcentral